This 223-nucleotide ribosomal RNA is filed under the name uncultured bacterium. RNAcentral describes it as "partial 16S ribosomal RNA". It matches the Rfam family "Bacterial small subunit ribosomal RNA", at positions 524 to 747 of the family's 1533-position model. The record is from RNAcentral.
UACGUAGGUGGCGAGCGUUGUCCGGAUUACUGGGCGUAAGGCGCGUAGGCGGUCGUGACAAGUUCACUUGUGAAAUCUCCGGGCUUAACUCGGAACGGUCAAGUGAUACUGUCGGACUAGAGUACAGAAGGGGCAACUGGAAUUCUCGGUGUAGCGGUGAAAUGCGUAGAUAUCGAGAGGAACACCUGCGGCGAAGGCGGGUUGCUGGGCUGAUAACUGCGCU